Molecule: ribosomal RNA, 488 nt
Filed under: Winkia neuii subsp. anitrata
Lineage: Bacteria; Bacillati; Actinomycetota; Actinomycetes; Actinomycetales; Actinomycetaceae
Description: bacterial SSU rRNA
Rfam family: Bacterial small subunit ribosomal RNA
Source: RNAcentral
GGCGUGCUUAACACAUGCAAGUCGAACGGGAUCCAUUAGCGCUUUUGUGUUUUUGGUGAGAGUGGCGAACGGGUGAGUAACACGUGAGUAACCUGCCCUUUUCUUUGGGAUAAGCCUGGGAAACUGGGUCUAAUACUGGAUGUUCCGGCUUCCUCGCAUGGGGUUGUUGGGAAAGGUUUUUUCUGGAUUGGGAUGGGCUCGCGGCUUAUCAGCUUGUUGGUGGGGUGAUGGCUUACCAAGGCUUUGACGGGUAGCCGGCCUGAGAGGGUGGUCGGUCACACUGGGACUGAGAUACGGCCCAGACUCCUACGGGAGGCAGCAGUGGGGGAUAUUGCACAAUGGACGGAAGUCUGAUGCAGCGACGUCGUGUGGGGGAUGAAGGCCUUCGGGUUGUAAACUCCUUUCGCCCGCGGAAAAGGCAGGGUUUUGGCCUUGUUGAUGGUAGUGGGUAAAGAAGCGCCGGCUAACUACGUGCCAGCAGCCGCGGU